RNAcentral lists this ribosomal RNA (245 nucleotides) under uncultured Desulfobulbaceae bacterium. RNAcentral describes it as "partial 16S ribosomal RNA". It matches the Rfam family "Bacterial small subunit ribosomal RNA", at positions 524 to 768 of the family's 1533-position model. Lineage: Bacteria; Pseudomonadati; Thermodesulfobacteriota; Desulfobulbia; Desulfobulbales; Desulfobulbaceae. The record is from RNAcentral.
UACGGAGGGUGCAAGCGUUGUUCGGAAUUACUGGGCGUAAAGGGCGCGUAGGCGGCGCUGUCAGUCAGAUGUGAAAGUCCAUGGCUUAACCGUGGAAGUGCAUCUGAUACUGCAGUGCUUGAGUAUCGGAGGGGAAAGUAGAAUUCCCGGUGUAGAGGUGAAAUUCGUAGAUAUCGGGAGGAAUACCGGUGGCGAAGGCGACUUUCUGGACGAAUACUGACGCUGAUGCGCGAAAGCGUGGGGAG